CUCCUAUACCUCUAUCUCUUAAGCAGUGAUAUUUAUUUUGUCUCUACAAUAGUUUUUGAGAGUAGCAGAUCCAGAUGUUCGCAGGCAGACAAACAUUAAAACUAAAUUAGUGACAUCGAACUUUAGUUUCCGCUAUUUUAACCCCGCAUUUUUCUAAAGAAACGUAAAAAUAAAAUCUUACACAUCUUAGACGAGCCCACUCAUUUCAGAGUCUUGGCAAUAAUAGGAAAAUUGUAAAUAACCGAAAACGUACUGCCACCCGAGUGUCGCGCAACAAUUAAUCACGGGCGUCACGAACUGAGGAACUUCACGGUGAUCCGGGAGUUUGCGGGACAGUGUAUAUCAAGCUUUGUUAUCCUCGCCCGUCUCAGUUGCUACUCGGUUGUGAACACGCGUCGGCGACUGCUCCAAGAUGACUUCGGAAGGCACUAACCUGGUGGCGACCUACUGCAUCCUACUGCUCCUGCUGGUCUCACUGUGGUUGCUGUAUUCAGCAUUUUAGAAAUAAUCGACGGGAGAGUCCACCUACCAUGUGAUCCAGGAGGCGGCCAGAUGAAAUGCCACAAAAAACAUUAAAUUAAGAAACCGUAACCUUAGUAACUAAGUUAGUGAUAAGUAAGCCAUGUAAUAUACCCACGCAUUUAAGUAUACUAAGAACCACAAUCCUCGUCAUGCUGAAGACCUGCGAGCGACUUUUAGACAUCAACAUCAUACGCCAAAUUUUAACUAUUCAGUGCUGGGCAUUCCAAUUUAAUUAAACUCUUAACUAAAAAUGUAAGUGAAAGACAACUAAAUAGAAUGUCGUAUCUAAUACUUACGAGGUUGACCAUUGGCAAUAUUUUGCUGUUUGGUGCUGAUCAUCUCUAUUAAGAAUUUAUCGUUGUUAAGAUUAUUAAGCGUUUUUAAUAAAGUUUUUUAGAAGA
Ostrinia nubilalis (European corn borer) is the source of this 923-nucleotide long non-coding RNA. RefSeq lists it as uncharacterized. The transcript has 2 exons. The record is from RefSeq and is a predicted model, not a curated record. NCBI's taxonomy places the organism in Eukaryota, Metazoa, Arthropoda, Insecta, Lepidoptera, Crambidae.